GGAGUAGGAGCAGUGCGUUAAGUACCGGCUGGAUGGGAGGUUGCCACCGGGCGAAGGAAAGUCCCCGCUUUCCGCGAUACUGCUACCGCAACCGCCUGC
This 99-nucleotide non-coding RNA is filed under the name uncultured Faecousia sp. Its description in RNAcentral is "THF riboswitch". It matches the Rfam family "THF (Tetrahydrofolate) riboswitch aptamer". From Rfam's summary of the family: THF riboswitch presents a pseudoknot that joins P1-P2 and the loop of P3 and two THF binding. Lineage: Bacteria; Bacillati; Bacillota; Clostridia; Eubacteriales; Oscillospiraceae. The record is from RNAcentral.